AUUGAACGCUGGCGGCAGGCCUAACACAUGCAAGUCGAACGAGUGGCGGACGGGUGAGUAAUGUCUGGGAAACUGCCUGAUGGAGGGGGAUAACUACUGGAAACGGUAGCUAAUACCGCAUACCAUCGGAUGUGCCCAGAUGGGAUUAGCUAGUAGGUGGGGUAACGGCUCACCUAGGCGACGAUCCCUAGCUGGUCUGAGAUGAUGACCAGACACACUGGAACUGUGACGCGGUCCAGAGUCCGACGGGAGGCAGCAGUGGGGAAUAUUGCACAAUGGGAGCAAGCCUGAUACAGCCAUGCCGAGUGUAUGAAGAAGGCCUUCGGGUUGUAAAGUACUUUCAGCGGGGAGGCGUUACCCGCAGAAGAAGCACCGGCUAACUCCGUGCCAGCCGCCGCGGUAAUUC
Molecule: ribosomal RNA, 406 nt
Filed under: uncultured bacterium
Lineage: Bacteria
Description: partial 16S ribosomal RNA
Rfam family: Bacterial small subunit ribosomal RNA
Source: RNAcentral